This 28-nucleotide small RNA is filed under the name Bombyx mori (domestic silkworm). RNAcentral's name for it is "ovarian small RNA-35117". Lineage: Eukaryota; Metazoa; Arthropoda; Insecta; Lepidoptera; Bombycidae. The record is from RNAcentral.
UGGUAUGAUGGCUAUACAGUGUAUAAAA